GGUCAUUUUACAUUCCAUAAAUAAGGGAGAUCAUAAAAUAUGUCUUUCUCUGCCUGGCUUAUUUCAUUAGUCUUCUUUUCAUCCAUGUUGUCACAAAUGAUGGGAUUUCUUUUCUUAAAAAUGGAAUAUUAUUCCAUUGUGAAUAAAUACUACAUUGUCUUUUUCUUUCUAAAGUUAUUGUACUAAUUUUCAGUCUGAACAACAAAUUUCAGUACCCUUUGCUCCACAUCCUUGUCAGUAUUUAUUAUUGUUUGUAUUUUUGAUGAUUGCCAUUCUAACUGCAGUGAGAUCAAAUAGUGUAGCUUUAAUUUGCAGUUACCUGACUGCUAAGGAUAUUGAACAUUUCUUCACAUGCAUUGUUUGUUUGUAUUUAUUCUUUGAGAAAUGUUUGUGUAGUUCAUUUGCCCAUUUAUUGAUUUGUUAUUUGGGUUUUUUUGGUGUUAAGAUUUUUCGUUCUUUAUGUAUUUUGAAUAUUAAUCCCUUGUUGGAAAAAUAGCUAGCAAAGAUUUUCUCCCAUUCUGUAGGCUCUCUCUUCAUGCUCUUGUUUCCUUUGCUGGGCAGAAACUUUUAAAUUUGAAGCCAUCCAUUUAUUGAUUCUUGGUUUUAUUUCUUGAGAUUUGGGCAUCUUAUUAAGGAAAUUGAUUUCUGCAUCAAUAUGUUGGAGUUUUACCCUAUGUUCCUUCAAAUAGUUGCAGUGUUUCUGGUCUAUUUCCAAGGAAUUUGAUCCAAUUUGAGUUGAUUUUUAUGCAGGGUGAGAGAUAGGAAUCUAAUUUCAUUCUUCUACAUAUAUUCAGUUUUCCCAGCACCAUGCAUUAAAAAGGCUAUCUUUUCUCCAGCUUAUGUUUUUUUUGUAUCUUUGUUAAGGAUCAGAUAAUUAUCUAAGUGUAUUUGUCUUUGUGUCUUCUGUUAUAUUCCAUGGACUUCACAUCUAUUUUUAUGCGAAAACCAGGCUGUUUGUUACUAUACCCCUGUAUAAUUUGAGAUCAGGGAUUAUUAUUAUGUCUUCAGCAUCACUCUUCUUGGUGAGCAUUGUUGUCGCUAUUCUGGAUCAUUUAUUCUUUUAAAUUAUUUUAGGAGUGUGAAGAAUGUUAUUGAUAUUUUGAUGAGGAUUUCAAUGGAUCUGUAUAACACUUUUCAUAGUAUGGUCAUUUUGACAAUAUUAAUCCUGUCUGUCCAAGAACAUGGGAUGCCUUUCCAUUUUCUUGGGUAGUCUUCAAUUUCUUUCUUCAGUGUUCUAAAGUUUUCAUUGUAGAGAUUUUUCAAUUCCUUGGUUAGAUUUAUUCACAGGUAUUUUUUAUUGUUUUUAUAAAUGUCAGGGUUUUAUUUCUGAAUGUGCAGUUCUAUUCC
Molecule: long non-coding RNA, 1347 nt
Filed under: Marmota monax (woodchuck)
Lineage: Eukaryota; Metazoa; Chordata; Mammalia; Rodentia; Sciuridae
Source: RNAcentral